RNAcentral lists this ribosomal RNA (576 nucleotides) under Amylomyces rouxii. RNAcentral's name for it is "eukaryotic LSU rRNA". It matches the Rfam family "Eukaryotic large subunit ribosomal RNA", at positions 108 to 602 of the family's 3401-position model. RNAcentral also lists the same sequence under 1 other name. The record is from RNAcentral. Lineage: Eukaryota; Fungi; Mucoromycota; Mucoromycetes; Mucorales; Mucoraceae.
CUCAAAGUUGGAACCUGUUUGGCCUAGCUAAACCGGAUUGUAGACUGUAGAAGUGUUUUCCAGGCAAGCCGAGUAAAUAAGUCCUUUGGAACAGGGCAUCAUAGAGGGUGAGAAUCCCGUCUUUGGCUUGAGCAUUUGCCUUUUGUGAUACGCUUUCAAAGAGUCAGGUUGUUUGGGAAUGCAGCCUAAAUUGGGUGGUAAAUCUCACCUAAAGCUAAAUAUUGGCGAGAAACCGAUAGCGAACAAGUACCGUGAGGGAAAGAUGAAAAGAACUUUGAAAAGAGAGUUAAACAGUAUGUGAAAUUGUUAAAAGGGAACCGUUUGGAGCCAGACUGGCUUGUCUGUAAUCAAUCUAGGCUUCGGCCUGGAUGCACUUGCAGGCUAUGCCUGCCAACGACAAUUUGACUUGAGGGAAAAAACUAAGGGAAAUGUGGCCCACUUGUGGGUGUUAUAGUCCCUUAGAAAAUACCUUGGGUUGGAUUGAGGAACGCAGCGAAUGCUUUUUGGCGAGUUUUCCAGGAAGGUUUUCUGAGGUACUACGGUAUCAAGGUUGAUCUUUUUGGUUAUACUUCUAUU